CCUACGGGAGGCAGCAGUGGGGAAUAUUGCACAAUGGGGGAAACCCUGAUGCAGCGACGCCGCGUGAGUGAAGAAGUACUUCGUUACGUAAAGCUCUAUCAGCAGGGAAGAAAAUGACGGUACCUGAGUAAGAAGCCCCGGCUAACUACGUGCCAGCAGCCGCGGUAAUACGUAGGGGGCAAGCGUUAUCCGGAUUUACUGGGUGUAAAGGGAGCGUAGACGGUGCGGCAAGUCUGGAGUGAAAUGCCGCAGCUUAACUGCGGAACUGCUUUGGAAACUGGCGAACUGGAGUGCGGGAGGGGUAAGCGGAAUUCCUAGUGUAGCGGUGAAAUGCGUAGAUAUUAGGAGGAACACCGGUGGCGAAGGCGGCUUACUGGACCGUAACUGACGUUGAGGCUCGAAGGCGUGGGGAGCAAACAGGAUUAGAUACCCCAGUAGUC
This 440-nucleotide ribosomal RNA is filed under the name uncultured bacterium. Its description in RNAcentral is "partial 16S ribosomal RNA". It matches the Rfam family "Bacterial small subunit ribosomal RNA", at positions 338 to 795 of the family's 1533-position model. The record is from RNAcentral.